Long non-coding RNA from Amphiprion ocellaris (clown anemonefish), 2593 nucleotides. NCBI's taxonomy places the organism in Eukaryota, Metazoa, Chordata, Actinopteri, Pomacentridae. The record is from Ensembl.
CUACAGGGCUGCACCUACAGGGCUGCACACUUCAGAGGACUUUUUAUAGACAGCGCCACCUACCGCAAUAGAUGAUCACUAACGUGCACAAUUUACGUUUUAAAUUGGUGAUUUCACUCAAAAUACACUUACAAUACAAAAGGCUUAUUCAGGAAGAAUUCCCCGUUCAUUUUAACCCCUGUCAGUUUUUCUACACAGCCGGAGGCUGCACUUUCAGGAACACACUGAUAGGACCGCAGUUUAAGGGCCGCCAACUUCUUCUCGGGCCCCGUUGUUCGUGUUUCCCACUGUGUUGAUGCUAAACGAAGUAGCAGCAUUUAUCGCCAUGAUGGACGACGGUAACCAUAUGGACAUCCCUUUGAUAGAGAAGUGGUGGUGUCUUCUUCCCAUGGAGCGUUUCCAAACAGAGGGGUACGACAACCUGAAACAAAAUGUGUAUAUAGAUUUUAGUGGCAAGUUAGGAGUUCACUUCCACUUCAUCAAACUGAUAACACACUAUCAGUGCCAUGUCAGUAGAACAUCUGAUAACUACAUUAAGUUCAUCAGACUGUGGAUGGCAGUCUUUGUCGAGAGUAUUUGUGCAUGUCAUUUUUUUCACCAGUGUAUUCGCUUUUUCCCAUUAUUUAUCUUAGAUGAAUAUUUAUGUUCGAAAUAUAUAGCCAGAGGUUCGCUUUCUGGACUAAUGAAGCCAGAAGCCUGCUCCAGGGAACCCUGAAGCCUGUUUACACAGUGCCAAGGCGGGGUGCUGUCACUGAUGAAGUUCUGCUCUAUAUGCAGGCUGUCACUGAACGCACUGCAAAGGAAACCAGACUGGUGGACUUCAUUAUCCAGUCAAAGGGAAUUGAGGAGUAUUUGGUGGUACUUUGAAAAUGUUCCUGUUUUCUCAUCAUUGCAGACUGACUCAGAAAAGAUUCACUUAGGGCCUUUGUUAGUAAUAUUAUCAGUGGACAGAACACUUUUUGGCUGUGUUUCAAAUGAAUAACUGAGUUCCAGAAAUUCAUUGUUUCUAUACUUUGGUUUGCCCUCAGGAUGUACUUAGUGGCAAACACUCUACUUGGAUUCAUCAGAAACCUUGUUGCCAGAUGCCUGUCUACCUGGAUAGUGAGGAACAACAGGACAAGCUUUUUGCAUUCUUAAAGACUGUACUGCACAGAGGACCACAACACAACUGAGCUUCACAGAUGAAGUUGUGUUCAUCUUUGAUGUUCUCUUUCCAGAGGCCAUCAUAUAUGGCCUGUCUAUGCAGGACAAUCUGCCCCUGCAUGAGGCUGAGCAGGUCUUCUUCAGUGGUCCAGCUUACCAUCAAAGUGAAGUGGAGGAGUUUUGUCAAAGGAUUUAAAAAGACCUGAAGAAAGAAGGCAGACUGUUCAGUUGUUAUUUAUAUGCCACCAUUGUGUCCAGGUUUUGUCCAGUCUGCUGGUAUCUGUGGCUCCAUGGGUGCACAUUUGUGGUCAGUUUGGUCCAUAUCCACAAAACUCACCAUCAUUCAGCAAACAACUUUUGCAGCACUUUGCUUCACUUUACAUUCAUCUUUGGAUUGACCGUGUCUUUAGAUUCAAAUAUCUGCUGUUUAGAGUGAUGAAAGAAUUGUGUAUUGCUCUCACCAUAAGCUAAACAAAGCUUACAUGACUUUCAGUCUCAGUUGGAAGCACAAUAUAAGCUGUAUAUAAAUUACAACGUUAGCUCUGUUAAGCUUGCUCAUGUAUAUGCCACUUAUUCAAAGUUUAUCUUGAUUGCAAGUGCUGUAUUCACAGUUUCUGCUUAAAAACUGCAUGUUCAAUAAUAUUUAGAUUUUAUGCUAUUGCAUAAACGGUUGCAUUUGUAGAGAAUGUGUCUAACCAUCAGACCAUUUACAUGUUAUCCAAAUGACCCAAAAUAGUUAUAAGGCUUUUAUCUUAUUUGAGCCAAAAGAUGUAUUUAAUUACAAUUUGUAAAACCUCAUCAUGCUCUUGUCUUUCUAUGGUGAUGAAAUUCAGAUUUAAUAUAAAAGAAAUAGCUUCAAGGCUGUACUUGAUUCACAUUCACCAUCCCUGCUAAUAACCUGCAACAACAUACUGAGUAUAAGUCACAUUUUGGAGCUGUACUUUAUCUGGCUGUUGCUGGUGUACACUGUUGUCCUCUGGAUGUUAUUAGUUUUUAAAGGGAACUUGUAGCUUUUUCUUUAAUGGUCAAAUUGUUUUUUUUUCUUUGCUAUUUUGUGUCUUGUAUUCAGUUGUAUUUGUGUCAUUGUGUGAAGUAUGGCUGUCAUUGUAAGGAUCUCCUUCCCACAGUAGAUGUGUCAAUUGCCCAGCAGGAUCAUACCUGCUUGGGUGGCUGUAUUUUUCUUCUGUAUUCUGUAGUGCUUUAAAAAAAAAAAAAGAUGUUUAUUGUGAUUUGGACUAGUUGCUUUUGUACUUGCUUGCUGAUGUCUGUAAAGUUGAAUGGGGGAGUUCAUUCCAGAGGAAAAGUGGAGGAACUACUAAUGUGAAGAUUGAAUAUUAAGAUGUACUACUUGUUAGAUGUGUUCCACAUCACUAUGUAUGUUAUUUUCUAUGUUUUGCAUGACAUGCAGGUAAUUGGAAUGAUUUAUGUUGUCUGGAUGUUGUCAUUAAAC